ACAACGACAUUGAGCAGAUUAGUAGAACGAUGCGUGCUAUCAGCGAGUAACCGGUGGUGGGAAGGUUACAGUACUCCCGUUCGAAUCACAACUGUGAGUUGGCCACUGACCAAAAGGUGGUCCGGGGAAGCCCGUUAGCGCGCAAAGUUUACAAUUCGUGAACUUACUGAGGUCGUCUUCCGUGAGGGGGCGACAAGAUGAGGUGGAACCGCGGCAACGCCCUCUUA
RNAcentral lists this non-coding RNA (227 nucleotides) under Limosilactobacillus fermentum. Lineage: Bacteria; Bacillati; Bacillota; Bacilli; Lactobacillales; Lactobacillaceae. The record is from RNAcentral.